This is a long non-coding RNA of Mesocricetus auratus (golden hamster), 709 nucleotides long. RefSeq lists it as uncharacterized. NCBI's taxonomy places the organism in Eukaryota, Metazoa, Chordata, Mammalia, Rodentia, Cricetidae. The transcript is spliced from 3 exons. The record is from RefSeq and is a predicted model, not a curated record.
CAGACACCCAACUGAGUCUGAAGCUAAGUCACAAGGGACUCCUUCCCAUCUUUUCCCAGUCACUGCCACCAAGGAGAAAGGCACCCAGGAAAGUCACAGGACCCCAGGCCUCCUGGCAGAUCUCAAGUGAAACAAAUUACUGCUGGAGAAAAAGUGUGGUGCCCUGGCCUCCUCCCUCUGAACACACAGCUGGCUCUUUAAGGAAGAGGAAUAGUGCAAAAUAUUUUGGAGGAAGCAGACGUUUCUCUUGACCUCUUUCCUGGCUGGGAUGAUGAUUUCUCAGGUGGUGAGGUCACCGCUUGGCAGGUGUUGAGGUGACCCAGCCUGGCUUGCCCCUUUUGACCUCAUGAUGCAAACCUCUUGAAAAGACAAAUGAGCAGUGUGAGGUAAGGCCUCUGCCUGGGCAGAUGGAUGUGCCCAACAGCUUCUUGGAGCAUGGCAGGGGACGUGUCUGGCAAAGCCUAGAAAACUGUACUUGUACUAAGACCCCGAUGAGCUGCUCUGAGGCGGAUCUCCAGGAUUUACCUAGAUCUGGCGCCUUGUCCCUGGCUAUUGAAACAGCGAAGUUGGCCAGGCCUGUUGCCCUGGGCCACAGUGUGCUUUGUAAGAGACUUGCCUUGUUGAGAACUCAGAAAGUCUGGUGGUGGUUGUGCAUGUCUUUAAUCCUAGCCUUUAGGAGUCAGAGGCAGGCAGAUCUCUGUGAAUUUGA